UACGGGGGGAGCAAGCGUUGUUCGGAUUUACUGGGCGUAAAGGGCGCGUAGGCGGUCAGCACAAGUCAGUUGUGAAAUCUCCGGGCUUAACUCGGAAAGGUCAACUGAUACUGUGCGACUAGAGUGCAGAAGGGGCAACUGGAAUUCUCGGUGUAGCGGUGAAAUGCGUAGAUAUCGAGAGGAACACCUGCGGCGAAGGCGGGUUGCUGGGCUGACACUGACGCUGAGGCACGAAGGCCAGGGGAGCAAACGGG
Molecule: ribosomal RNA, 254 nt
Filed under: uncultured bacterium
Lineage: Bacteria
Description: partial 16S ribosomal RNA
Rfam family: Bacterial small subunit ribosomal RNA
Source: RNAcentral